RNAcentral lists this small nucleolar RNA (182 nucleotides) under Talaromyces islandicus. The record is from RNAcentral. Lineage: Eukaryota; Fungi; Ascomycota; Eurotiomycetes; Eurotiales; Trichocomaceae.
AUGUCUCUUGCCUCGCUCGGUCGCCCGUGUUUUCGACAUAAUCUAUGGGCUGAUCUUGAGCUGGAUGCAGCCAGCAACGUUUAGUUUUCUGGCUGUACGAGACGAGAUUGAUUCGAUGAUCUUUGAGUACGGUUUUGUCUGGAUUUCACAGAUAUGAAUCGUAAUUUAUCCGUCGAAAUAUA